Molecule: ribosomal RNA, 381 nt
Filed under: Nesolagus timminsi (Annamite striped rabbit)
Lineage: Eukaryota; Metazoa; Chordata; Mammalia; Lagomorpha; Leporidae
Description: partial large subunit ribosomal RNA
Rfam family: Bacterial large subunit ribosomal RNA (bases 207-381)
Source: RNAcentral
UAAAGCACUUGGCUUACACCCAAGAGAUUUCAUAUAACUGACCACUCUGAGCCAACGCUAGCCCUAUAUAAUUCCAUUAAACCAUAAAAAUUUAUUAAACUAAAACAUUCACCUUAUAUUUAAAGUAUAGGAGAUAGAAAUUUAUUUCAGGCGCCAUAGAAAAAGUACCGUAAGGGAAAGAUGAAAGAAUUAUUGACAGCAUAAGAAAGCAGAGAUUAACACUCUUACCUUUUGCAUAAUGAGUUAGCCAGAAGAUCUUUAGCAAAAAGAAUUUUAGUUAAAAACCCCGAAACCAGACGAGCUAUCUACGAGCAGUUGCUAGAACGUACCCGUCCAUGUUGCAAAAUGGUGGGAAGACUUAUAGAUAGAGGUGAAAAGCCA